RNAcentral lists this long non-coding RNA (1368 nucleotides) under Homo sapiens (human). RNAcentral's name for it is "mir-99a-let-7c cluster host gene". Lineage: Eukaryota; Metazoa; Chordata; Mammalia; Primates; Hominidae. The record is from RNAcentral.
ACACAUUUGGGACCUUCUCAGGCUUCACCCUAUGCACCUCUUUUUGCUGAUCCUGAUUUGUAUUAUUUGUGCUAUAAUAACACUGUAAUUAUAUGUAUAGGACUUUCCUGAAUUCUCUGUCACUGUCAGUCUAUUAAAUGAUUGAGCAUGAAGAGAGAGUAGGAACCCCUGAGUAUUUAGCUUGUUGGUCAGAAGUGCUGGUGGCCUUGGAACUCAUAAGCUUGUGGCUAGUUUCUGAGGUGAGUGAGAGGUCUUGUGAAGGACUGUGCCCUCAGCCUGUGAAGUCUGCCUAACUCUGGCUAGUCCAUCGCAAGUCACUGCACACGUAUUAAUUCAAUCAGCUCUAUGGUCUAACCCAGGCACAACAGGAAUACAACCUUUUACUACAGAUGUGGGAUUGUUCAUGUCAUCUACUAAUGCAAGAUGGAUCUGAGAACGCUGUCUGGGCUUGGUACCAAGAGCUGGUAUUUCACAGCAGCGACCGCCUCACAGACGAGCUGUGGGAAGCAGGAGGGAGACUCUCUCUUAGGGUGCCACUACUAUGGAGACACAGCUGGGCUGAACAAGAUUUGCUUCAAACGACAACAAGAGAGACAGAAAGUAUCUGGUUCAACCGCUGCCCGAGCAGGCAGGCACCAGAAGAGCUAGCAGCCAAUCCGGCCAUGCUCGAAGCCAGCUCUGCAGCUCAGCCAAUCAGUGACAUCAUUGCUUUCUUUAGCUUGCCCAUGGUGAUGUGAAGAUGAGAAGAAAUAGCAAGGCCCAACCAGUUCUUCAUCUGGAGACAGUUCAACGUUCUGCAAACCAGAUCUUCAGGAAUUUUACUGGGAUAAUUAUCCAAAUAAAUUGCAAGCAUUCUAUCCAAAUGGGAAAUCUGGGAAGAAAGAGAAUAGAAUGAGGUACAUGUUAGAAAUGGAAAUGGCGAAGAGCUCUUUCUGAGAUGAAGAGAAUUCUCAAUGUCAAGAUUUGAACAAGAAGAGAAUGGAAUACACAAUAUGGACAUCCAUAAAAAUUCAUCAGAGAGCAUUUUACUACUGAGCUGCAAAGGGAAAAACUUAAAAUGGAUAUGAAAAGUGAAGAAAGUGAUCAUAGGAGAAAACCAUUUCAGGUGUCUGAUGAUUUGUGAGCCUCAAGUGACUACUCUGUGGAAUCAUCUGUCCUUGCCUUUGAAUUAGCUUUCCCUAGGCCAUGAGUCAACAUUAGUAGUUUAUACAUCCAAAUUGAUGACAAGAGCACCUCAAAGGCAGCAGCCUCAAGGAGCAGCCAUGGCCCCAGACUUGUCGCACGGAUGCAGAAAACUUAAUGGAGGAGGCUGAGGUCAGAAUGGGAAGAGUUUUUAAAAAAUAAAAAGGGGAGCUAAUAUGUGAGGAA